RNAcentral lists this ribosomal RNA (708 nucleotides) under Triticum aestivum (bread wheat). RNAcentral describes it as "partial small subunit ribosomal RNA". Lineage: Eukaryota; Viridiplantae; Streptophyta; Magnoliopsida; Poales; Poaceae. The record is from RNAcentral.
AUGGCCGAACCGUCGCCGGGCGGCCACUCGACCCUCGGCGCCGAGAGGGCGGCGGUGCUCCUCGUGAAGAAGAUGCUGGCGGAGCUGCUGGGGACGUUCCUGCUCCUCUUCGUCCUGCUGUCGGCGCUGAUCAUGAACGCGACCCACGACGGCGCCCUGGGCCUGCUGGGCGUGGCGGCGACGGCGGGGCUGGCCGUGACGGUGCUCGUGGCGUCGCUGGUCCACAUCUCCGGGGCCCACCUGAACCCGGCGAUAAGCGUCUCCAUGGCCGUGUACGGCUACCUCCCGCGCGCCCACCUCGCGCCCUACAUGGCCGCGCAGUUCCUAGGCGCCAUCGCCGCGUCCUUCGUGGCCAAGGCGGUCUACCACCCGGCGAACCCCGGCGCCAUUGUGGCCACCGUGCCCACGCUCGGCACCGCGGGGACAUUCUUGGUCGAGUUCCUCACCACCUUUGUCCUCCUCUUCGUAAUCGUCGCCCACGCCACCGAUCCCAAGGCGGUGAAGGAGCUGAUAGCAGUGGCAGCCGGGGCAGCAAUCAUGAUGAACGCCCUUAUCUCUGCGGAGUCAACGGGAGCGUCCAUGAAUCCGGCGAGGACGCUGGGGACGGCCAUCGCCACCGGGACGUACACCAAGAUCUGGGUCUACAUGGUGGCGCCGCCGCUCGGAGCCAUCGCCGGGACCGGGGCUUACAUUGCGCUCAAGCACUGA